AUGUGCAAGUGCACCCAGAUCUCUCGCCAGGUCUGGCGGCGUCGUGCAACACUCAUGGGCUACGACUCUAGUACGCUAGCAGUGGUGGCAGGCAAUGGCGAGUGUACUGAUGGUCGAGCGGCAGCGCGGGCUAAUGGGUUCGGCUCUGUUCUCGUUCGCCAUUUACUAUACUGUACUACUCAACAAGUUAAGGGUGGAUUCAGACUGAUGAGGCUGUCCAAGAUUGCUCGGAACAAGGCGAAAUUGGUGAAGCACGAAGCCCUUGUCGAUGGCUUCAGUAAAUCCAGUUUCAAAAACAAUAAAAUGAGAAACAUUCAGAUAAGGCUUCGUUGA
RNAcentral lists this ribosomal RNA (333 nucleotides) under Triticum aestivum (bread wheat). RNAcentral describes it as "partial small subunit ribosomal RNA". The record is from RNAcentral. Lineage: Eukaryota; Viridiplantae; Streptophyta; Magnoliopsida; Poales; Poaceae.